RNAcentral lists this ribosomal RNA (497 nucleotides) under uncultured bacterium. RNAcentral describes it as "partial 16S ribosomal RNA". It matches the Rfam family "Bacterial small subunit ribosomal RNA", at positions 28 to 507 of the family's 1533-position model. The record is from RNAcentral.
GAUGAACGCUGGCGGCGUGCCUAAUACAUGCAAGUCGAGCGAACAGACGAGGAGCUUGCUCCUCUGACGUUAGCGGCGGACGGGUGAGUAACACGUGGAUAACCUACCUAUAAGACUGGGAUAACUUCGGGAAACCGGAGCUAAUACCGGAUAAUAUAUUCAACCGUAUGGUUCAAUUGUGAUAGACGGUUUUUCUGUCACUUAUAGAUGGAUCCGCGCUGCAUUAGCUAGUUGGUAAGGUAACGGCUUACCAAGGCAACGAUGCGUAGCCGACCGGGCUGGAUUGUCGGCCGCACGAGACAUGAGUCACGGUCGAGAAUCCUGCUGGAGGCGGCGGUGGUGAUACUGCCGCUGAUGGCGAAAGUCUGUCGGAGCAAUGCCGCGUGCGUGAUGAGGGUCUUCCGGUCGUGAAACUCUGUUAGUAGGGAAAAAAAGAUUUGUAUGUAACUGUGCGCGUCUUGACGGUACCUUAUCAGAAAACGGCGGCUAACUACGUG